This 257-nucleotide ribosomal RNA is filed under the name uncultured bacterium. Its description in RNAcentral is "partial 16S ribosomal RNA". It matches the Rfam family "Bacterial small subunit ribosomal RNA", at positions 99 to 353 of the family's 1533-position model. The record is from RNAcentral.
CGGACGGGUGAGUAACGCGUGGGUAACCUGCCUUAUACAGGGGGAUAACAGUCAGAAAUGGCUGCUAAUACCGCAUAAGCGCACAGAGCUGCAUGGCUCAGUGUGAAAAACUACCGGUGGUAUAAGAUGGACCCGCGUUGGAUUAGCUAGUUGGUGGGGUAACGGCCCACCAAGGCGACGAUCCAUAGCCGGCCUGAGAGGGUGAACGGCCACAUUGGGACUGAGACACGGCCCAGACUCCUACGGGAGGCAGCAUG